AAAAAAAUAAUAAUAAAACCCAGAAAAGAAGAAUUUUAUUUGUGGAAAGUGACGUGGCAUUAGGACCUAAACAACCGUACGGAUGUAGCUGAAAUGUCCAAAAUUUCCUUCAUCUAUGGAUUGGUCUCCAUCAUUUCCCAAAUUUCCCUCCAUAACUGCACUAGACUAGGGUUUGGUUUGUCUCAAUUGGAUUCGAAUACCUACUAUUAAAUUAAUCCUUUGAUUCCACUCUCAAAAUUCUCGAUCCCAAGUCAGACAGAGUCUAAUGGAAGUGGUCCCAGCCUCAACCUCUUCUGCUGCCGCGGGAGGUGGAGGUGGAGGCGGCGGAGGGCCAGCGCCUUUCUUGUUAAAGACUUACGACAUGGUGGAUGAUUCGUCUACGGAUGAGAUCGUGUCGUGGAGCUCCAACAAGAACAGCUUCGUGGUUUGGAAUCCUCCAGAAUUCGCGCGACUCCUCCUUCCUACUUACUUCAAGCAUAACAAUUUCUCCAGCUUCAUCAGGCAAUUAAAUACAUAUGUGAGUGUUUUUUUUUAAAUAUAUUUGUUAUUGGUAUUUUGUGAUUAGCGGUAUUAUUUUAUGUUUGAACCUUGUUUUUGGUGCUUGCAAUUUUUUUUUUCCUUUAAUUGAUGGAAGUGAGACAGUUCAAUGGCUGAUUAUGAUUUUAUAGUGUUCUCUAAUUCGAGAUAUGGUGAAGUAAGUUGUUAAUCCUUAGUGUUAACCAUCAUAUCCUCAAAGCUUAAAUUUAGCAUAGGAGAACUAAAAAUAGAAGAAUUUGAUAUACUUGAAAGCUUGACAUUGUAGUGUGGUUUAUUAAUGUAUUGUCUCAGUAUAGUUUUUAUUGUUAACAUGUCUCGAAUGCUAUAGUAUAUGGUUUAAUAACAUUUAAAUUAUAUGAAAAUUACUAAACUACCCUGUUUUAAAUAUAUAAAUGGUUAUUGUAUAAAAUGGGAAUAUAAAAAUUUAAAAUCAUCUCAAACUGCCGAUUUGGUGGUUUGAAGGUAAAAUGAUAAUUAUAAAAUCAUCAUUUAAAUCCAGAAUCACCAACAGUAUAAAGAAACAAAUAGUAUAAUCAUACUAUUUAAUAUGAAACCAUGGUUUACCAUGGUGAGUCUUAGUGACAAGAUAAAGACUAAUUAUAAGUGUAUUUGCUUUCGAACAGUAAUUAGAUGGAUAUAAUUGUUAUAAUACCAAGCAAAUGCACACAUGACGGGGAUCAACUUAAAACAUUUAUGAUUUCAGUAAAUGUCAACAUUUGUGCUUCUUGUUAUUUCAGGCAUGAUAGAAGAGCCUUUACAUUCAAAGACAAACUACAUCUAUCAUCUUUUCCUCAAGUUUAGUUGGACCUAUGAUGGAGUGCUAGAUUCAUGUUCUUUGAUCUUGGUGAAGAAUUCAUUUACUUAUUGUUUUUGUCUUGGAUAUUCCUUUUAGCUUGAAUUUUAAGUUUCUUCUUGUGAUUCGUUGCUUUCUUAAAAACUUAUUGUACUGUUUGUAUUGCAUCAAAUGAUUACUACUUGUUUGCAAUUCUGUGAUUUAAAUAAUUUAACCUUGCAUUUUUUGUUUGUUGAGGAAAAUUACCCAUUUAUCUAAGGUGUUAUCUGAAUGGUUAAAUUUAUUUCUAGACAUGUUGAUAUUCUGUAAGUUUCUUGCCAUCCUUUCUUUUUCUCCUUUUUUUCCCUUCUGGUGGUGGUGCUGGAAUUCAUCAUAUCAUCUUGCUUUUCUCUCUCCAUGCUGUAGCCCAUUCAUCUCUUUCUCCUCAAAAUGUUAUGGGGGGAACCCGUUUUUUAUUCUGUAAUUGGCUCAAAUUAUGUGUAUCAGCACUUGCUGUAAUUUGAUGACAGGGAUUCAGAAAGAUUGAUCCUGAGAGAUGGGAAUUUGCCAAUGAAGAUUUUGUGAAAGAUCAAAAUCAUCUUCUCAAAAAUAUCCACAGAAGGAAACCAAUUCACAGUCAUAGUCACCCUCAGGGGUCUUUGGUGGAUCCUGAAAGAGCAGCAUUUGAGGAAGAAAUAGAUAGGCUUGCACGAGACAAAGCUGCACUUGAGGCAAGUGUUGUAGUGAGCAAGCAGCAGCGGUCAGCUGAAAAGCUUCAGUUGGAAGAUCUAACUCAGCGGGUGGAUAGUAUGGAGCAGAGACAGGAAAAAUUGAUGACUUGCUUAGAGAAGGCAGUUCAGAAGCCUACUUUUAUUGAACAUCUUGGUCGAAAAAUAGAUUCUAUGGAUUUUUCUGCAUAUAAUAAGAAAAGAAGACUGCCUCAAGUUGAUCCCUUAAAGUCAAUUGCAGAAAAUAGUUUUGUGGACAAUCACAGUUGUUCUAGACCUGAGUUCGGGAAUGUUAUCCAUCAAGAUUUCUCAAAUAAGCUGAGACUGGAAUUGUCAACAGCUGUUUCAGAUGUUAAUUUGGUCUCAAAUAGCACACAGAGUUCCAAUGAAGAUGGGGGAAGUCCACAGAGAAAAAUAGCUGAAGUAGACCCAAAAGAUGCACCAACAGGAACAUCAUGUCUGCUAUUUGCAGCUGAAACAUUUGAACUUUCAGAUACUGGGACAUCUUAUACAUUUAAAGUGGAUCCAUCUUUCCCAAGAAAAGUGACAGUGAAUGAAACCCCAGGACUGCAUUUGCUGCAGCAGAAUUUGACUUCUAAUGAAGAAGUUGAUGGCCAUAUUUCUUGCCAUCUAAAUCUAACUCUGGCAUCUUCUACACUUCAAGUCAAUAGGAGUCCUUAUCCAGCUAGGAUGCCUGAACUACAUCAGGAAAUUUGCAAAUCUGCCAAAUCAAAGUUCAAUGACAAUGGUAAAGAAUCUGAUAUGAUGGUUACCUCAAAGGUCAGGAAUGCAGGUGAUGAGGAUACAAUUUUAUCUUCCUCAAAGGAAGCCCCAAGUAGCAAUCAAGGGCCUGCAGCUGCUCCAGCUCAAGUAAAUGAUGUAUUUUGGGAACAAUUCCUAACUGAAAGACCAGGCUCUUCUGAAAAUGAAGACGCAAGUUCUAAUUCUAGGUCAAAUCCAUAUGAUGAGCAGGAAGAUCGAAGGUCUAGCCAUGGAGUAGUGAGAAACGUUAAAAAUGUGGAGCAUCUGUCUCUUUGAGCACUAUUUUUGUUGUAAAAGCCUGUGACAAGUUUGUAAAGUGUUCUCCCAGAACUUUCAAUGAUUUAUAUAUUCACUACAUUUGAUAACAAUGUAUGUCAUCACUAGAUGUAACUUAUGACAUAACUAGAUGUAACUUAUCUUUUUGGUUUAAAUAUGAUAAUGUCAAAAUGUUACCGUUCCUUGUGGUUGUAUUGUUGUUUAUAUCCA
RNAcentral lists this unclassified non-coding RNA (3285 nucleotides) under Hevea brasiliensis (rubber tree). Lineage: Eukaryota; Viridiplantae; Streptophyta; Magnoliopsida; Malpighiales; Euphorbiaceae. The record is from RNAcentral.